Non-coding RNA from Manis javanica (Malayan pangolin), 1295 nucleotides. The record is from RefSeq and is a predicted model, not a curated record. Lineage: Eukaryota; Metazoa; Chordata; Mammalia; Pholidota; Manidae.
GUCACUGUCAUUAAAAAAAAAAAAAAAAUUGGCAGAAAGUCUAGAGAUGAUUCACGCUGAGAAUUCUGACUGGUUGAUAGCAUAUUCAUUCACAGUCUAAUAAAUCAUUCGCCAGGGAGGGACAGGGCAGGACGGAGAGACUCCAGAGAGGGAAAGCAGAGCGGGAUCCCUGGGGGGAAUAAGCAUUCCUGGCGGCCCUGCCGCUACCUGGCGGCUACAGCUUUUUCCUGAGAGAGGAUGUACUUGGGGGUGUGUGACGGAGUUUGGCUGGCUGAAAUGUUCCAUCACUGCCCUCCCCACCCUCCUCCUUCGAAGCACUGACCUUUGCCAAGAAGGCGGCAUUCCUGAUGGCACCCACCAUUUCUCCCCCCUUGGGGUGCACCUUGGCCACGUGCAUCCACAUGCGCUCCCAGGACGCGCAGAAGAGGAGCGGCUGCUGGAGCUCCGCUUAUGGGCCGGACCUGAAAUCAGUGGAGACACAGCACGCAUCACAGAAAGAGAAGAGCAGGGUGCAGUGAGAAGAGCAUCAGACUACUGACCUGGGGACUGACUCUGAGCCCAGAUUUGUCACUUGGCUAAGCUGUGUGACCCAGGAGAAGCCAUAUGCCUGUUCUGUUCUUGAGAAGAGAACAGACCCCUUGCUCUCCAAGGUCUGUCCUGACCCUGUGGCUCUGUGAUUCUCUGACUUUCUCUCUUGUGGACACUUAGGGACUUGGCCAUUAUAUCUUUUCUCUUUCAACUCCAAGCCAGCACACCAGCUCUGAGAGGGUGAAGCAGUUCUGGUAGCAAUGCCGUUAACCUGGAAUCAAGAAUGCAGUCGUCAAAGAGCCACUUAUGGCAGAUCAGUGUCUGGACACUUAACCCUACAAGUUACUUGUGACAGAAUUGGAGGGUGUGGCAAGGGGCCAGGGCCAGGAGAGACCCUUGGAGUGCAGCCGAGAGCCAGGACUUGGCUGAGAAGACCUGAUUCCAGACCAGUCCUCCACUAUUGCAGAGCCCAUGUUUAGGGCUUAACUGAUUCAAUAAUGAGAAUAAUAAUUUAGGUCCGUAUAGACAAAAGAAAUGGGCCAGUUCAGGAAAUUAUUGAAUAAUUCAAGUAGAACAGUACACCUGAAAAAAUCAGGAAAUAGAAAAUUAUCCUCUUACCAUACAAUUGCUUCAAUUUUCAUUUCCCGAUUAAAAGAAAACAUGCCUCAGUGAAUGAUCUGUUUUCUCAAACACCCCUCCUCCCUCCUUUCCUCAUCUCUCAAAUCUGCCCCUUUCUCCUUGCUUGCUGCGAGUUUCAAGUCCUGAGA